GGGCCCGUAGCUCAGCCUGGUAGAGCGCCCGAUUCGCAAUCGGGAGGCCCCGGGUUCAAAUCCCGGCGGGUCCACCA
Molecule: transfer RNA, 77 nt
Filed under: bacterium
Lineage: Bacteria
Description: tRNA-Ala
Rfam family: tRNA
About the family: Transfer RNA (tRNA) molecules are approximately 80 nucleotides in length. Their secondary structure includes four short double-helical elements and three loops (D, anti-codon, and T loops).
Source: RNAcentral